Molecule: long non-coding RNA, 389 nt
Filed under: Numida meleagris (helmeted guineafowl)
Lineage: Eukaryota; Metazoa; Chordata; Aves; Galliformes; Numididae
Description: lncRNA (ENSNMEG00000006065.1)
Source: RNAcentral
AUGUAACUGCUAAGAUAUCAGCUAAAAUUUGUUAGGAAUUGACAGAAUUGUUAAGAAUUUUGUCUCUGCUACACUGGAAUGGACAUAAGUGACUGACGAGUUUAGAGACAUCUCCCUGAUUUACAGGAACUGGAAGCUGGGCUGGUUGAAGAUUGAUGCUGUCCUGAUAAUGAGUGAAUGACAACAGGACAAUCUGCCUGGGACUCCAACAGUGAACACAGAAAAGGGCCUGAUGCACUGCUCACACUUCCCUUAGGUGUGGCUGAUGUUCCUCACUUUUCCCUGAGAUUUUUGCAGAAGUUCCUGUGAUGGUUGACAACUACCAUUUGCUUCUCCGGAUAAGCACCAUAGGCAGAAAAAAAUAAGUACUCUGGAUCCCUGAAUUCUGA